UGCGGAAUAGCUCCGGGAAACUGGAAUUAAUACCGCAUACGCCCUACGGGGGAAAGAUUUAUCGGGGAAGGAUUGGCCCGCGUUGGAUUAGCUAGUUGGUGGGGUAAAGGCCUACCAAGGCGACGAUCCAUAGCUGGUCUGAGAGGAUGAUCAGCCACAUUGGGACUGAGACACGGCCCAAACUCCUACGGGAGGCAGCAGUGGGGAAUAUUGGACAAUGGGCGCAAGCCUGAUCCAGCCAUGCCGCGUGAGUGAUGAAGGCCUUAGGGUUGU
RNAcentral lists this ribosomal RNA (273 nucleotides) under uncultured bacterium. Its description in RNAcentral is "partial 16S ribosomal RNA". It matches the Rfam family "Bacterial small subunit ribosomal RNA", at positions 137 to 426 of the family's 1533-position model. The record is from RNAcentral.